Molecule: ribosomal RNA, 373 nt
Filed under: Micromonas pusilla
Lineage: Eukaryota; Viridiplantae; Chlorophyta; Mamiellophyceae; Mamiellales; Mamiellaceae
Description: partial Bacterial small subunit ribosomal RNA
Rfam family: Bacterial small subunit ribosomal RNA
Source: RNAcentral
CGGGUGAGUAACGCGUGGGAACGUACCCUCUUCUGCGGAAUAGCCACUGGAAACGGUGAGUAAUACCGCAUACGCCCUUCGGGGGAAAGAUUUAUCGGAGGAGGAUCGGCCCGCGUUGGAUUAGGUAGUUGGUGGGGUAAUGGCCUACCAAGCCUACGAUCCAUAGCUGGUUUUAGAGGAUGAUCAGCCACACUGGGACUGAGACACGGCCCAGACUCCUACGGGAGGCAGCAGUGGGGAAUCUUAGACAAUGGGCGCAAGCCUGAUCUAGCCAUGCCGCGUGUGUGACGAAGGCCUUAGGGUCGUAAAGCACUUUCGCCUGUGAUGAUAAUGACAGUAGCAGGUAAAGAAACCCCGGCUAACUCCGUGCCAG